This 496-nucleotide ribosomal RNA is filed under the name uncultured bacterium. RNAcentral's name for it is "partial 16S ribosomal RNA". It matches the Rfam family "Bacterial small subunit ribosomal RNA", at positions 29 to 507 of the family's 1533-position model. The record is from RNAcentral.
AUGAACGCUGGCGGCGUGCCUAAUACAUGCAAGUCGAGCGAACAGACGAGGAGCUUGCUCCUCUGACGUUAGCGGCGGACGGGUGAGUAACACGUGGAUAACCUACCUAUAAGACUGGGAUAACUUCGGGAAACCGGAGCUAAUACCGGAUAAUAUAUUGAACCGCAUGGUUCAAUAGUGAAAGACGGUUUUGCUGUCACUUAUAGAUGGAUCCGCGCCGCAUUAGCUAGUUGGUAAGGUAACGGCUUACCAAGGCAACGAUGCGUAGCCGACCUGAGAGGGUGAUCGGCCACACUGGAACUGAGACACGGUCCAGACUCCUACGGGAGGCAGCAGUAGGGAAUCUUCCGCAAUGGGCGAAAGCUUGACGGAGCAACGCCGCGUGAGUGAUGAAGGUCUUCGGAUCGUAAAACUCUGUUAUUAGGGAAGAACAAAUGUGUAAGUAACUAUGCGCGUCUUGACGGUACCUAAUCAGAAAGCCACGGCUAACUACGUG